Molecule: ribosomal RNA, 429 nt
Filed under: Gemmatimonadota bacterium
Lineage: Bacteria; Pseudomonadati; Gemmatimonadota
Description: Gemmatimonadetes bacterium partial 16S ribosomal RNA
Rfam family: Bacterial small subunit ribosomal RNA
Source: RNAcentral
UAGGGAAUCUUCGGCAAUGGACGAAAGUCUGACCGAGCAACGCCGCGUGAGUGAAGAAGGUUUUCGGAUCGUAAAACUCUGUUGUUAGAGAAGAACAAGGACGUUAGUAACUGAACGUCCCCUGACGGUAUCUAACCAGAAAGCCACGGCUAACUACGUGCCAGCAGCCGCGGUAAUACGUAGGUGGCAAGCGUUGUCCGGCUUUAUUGGGCGUAAAGCGAGCGCAGGCGGUUUCUUAAGUCUGAUGUGAAAGCCUCCGGCUCAACCGGGGAGGGUCAUUGGCAACUGGGAGACUUGGGUGCAGAAGAGGAGAGUGGAAUUCCAUGUGUAGCGGUGAAAUGCGUAGUUAUAUGGAGGAACACCAGUGGCGAAGGCGGCUCUCUGGUCUGUAACUGACGCUGAGGCUCGAAAGCGUGGGGAGCAAACAGA